This 96-nucleotide ribosomal RNA is filed under the name Streptomyces griseus. RNAcentral also lists the same sequence under 61 other names. The record is from RNAcentral. Lineage: Bacteria; Bacillati; Actinomycetota; Actinomycetes; Kitasatosporales; Streptomycetaceae.
GAAACGCCCGGUUACAUUCCGAACCCGGAAGCUAAGCCUUUCAGCGCCGAUGGUACUGCAGGGGGGACCCUGUGGGAGAGUAGGACGCCGCCGAAC